RNAcentral lists this long non-coding RNA (211 nucleotides) under Nicotiana benthamiana. RNAcentral's name for it is "long non-coding RNA (NBEN_LNC004834)". The record is from RNAcentral. Lineage: Eukaryota; Viridiplantae; Streptophyta; Magnoliopsida; Solanales; Solanaceae.
GGUCCUAAAGAACCAGACACUCCCUCUUGGAGGGGUACGGCUUCACACUAGGGAGAGGCAGGAUUAUGCUACUGCUAGCAUGAAAUGCUCUAGGCUUUCUAGGGCUCUCAAUCCCUUCUACCAUGCCAAUAAUUCCCCUUAGCAUAACUUUUCAACUAGUUGAGGAUAACCCCUAGUCAUUACAGCAGGAGAUAUUGAUAUCGAAUAGCUA